RNAcentral lists this ribosomal RNA (483 nucleotides) under uncultured bacterium. Its description in RNAcentral is "partial 16S ribosomal RNA". It matches the Rfam family "Bacterial small subunit ribosomal RNA", at positions 28 to 507 of the family's 1533-position model. The record is from RNAcentral.
GACGAACGCUGGCGGCGUGCUUAACACAUGCAAGUCGAACGCUGAAGCUCAGCUUUUGUUGGGUGGAUGAGUGGCGAACGGGUGAGUAACACGUGAGUAACCUGCCCCCUUCUUUGGGGUAACGCCCGGAAACGGGUGCUAAUACUGGAUAUUCACUGGUCUUCGCAUGGGGGUUGGUGGAAAGGGUUUUUCUGGUGGGGGAUGGGCUCGCGGCCUAUCAGCUUGUUGGUGGGGUGAUGGCCUACCAAGGCUUUGACGGGUAGCCGGCCUGAGAGGGUGACCGGGCACAUUGGGACGGAGAUACGGCCCAGACUCCGACGGGGGGCAGCAGUGGGGAAUAUUGCACAAUGGGCGCAAGCGUGAUGCAGCGACGCCGCGUGAGGGAUGGGGGCCUUCGGGUUGUGAACCUCUUUCGCUCAUGGUCAAGCCGCAACAAUGGUUGUGGUGAGGGUAGUGGGUAAAGAAGCGCCGGCUAACUACGUG